This 951-nucleotide long non-coding RNA is filed under the name Homo sapiens (human). RNAcentral's name for it is "non-protein coding lnc-MANSC4-9:3". The record is from RNAcentral. Lineage: Eukaryota; Metazoa; Chordata; Mammalia; Primates; Hominidae.
AGGGCUGGAAGUGGGUGGAUGGAAGAAAAUGCUGCCCUUCCUGCUAUCUCUAAGGAACGGAGAUAAUCCGAUGGGGAAGAACCUGGCGGGUCGAGUUUUAAACUUUUCUUGUUGUAGUUACUGAGAUUCCAGAUCAGAAACGAAACUAACCCACGCGAACCCCCUUUUUAAGGAGAAACAAUUGCCUCGGUGUCACAGGCACACGGGCAUGUACAAGCCCGGCGGCGCGUGGUGUAGAAAAUGGCUAGCUUUAAGCCAUGCAAAUAAAGGAAAACGUCAGCUCACCCUUCUGCCCUUUUAUCCUGGGACUGCUGGGUGUUCCCUUAGACGGGGAAUGUAGAACUUCAAAAGCACUUCAGAAAGAUUUGGAAGAGACUCCUGAAAACGGUGACCGAGCUUUGAAUUGUUAAGUGGUGGUGUUGUCAGCCAUGUGGCUGCUGUUGCUUUUAGCGAUGAAAAUCACACCACACAAGCUUCUCGGGCAAGUAAAAUUGAAUCUCUGAAGCAAGAAAAAUGUAUUUCCCCGUUUAAAGACCUUAAGGCUGCUGUUUCAAUGCACACACUGAAAAGGGUGGAGGAAGGAGGGACCUCACAAUUGAGUUCCACAAACCACAUGAGAAUAAUUACUGUAGAAUGGAACCAAUUGUAGUGGCUGAGCUCUCAAUUAAGAAUUAACUAACGUUUAUCCUUGACAGAUAUCAUGCGGUAUAAUCCCCUUGGCUGACAGAAGAAAAAGAUUCUCAGAAAAUGGUUCUUUCAAGGCAGAUGCUGCUUACAGGCAGACCUGAAUGGUGAAAAGCAGCUUUAUUUGUAUGAGAUAUAGGUAGCAUAUAACCCACCAUCUUCUAAAAAUAUAGUGAAUUAAUAACUUUCUCUUUUUUUUCUUCUUUUUUUAAACAGGUCACUCUGCCACCCAGGCUGGAGUGCAGUGGCAUGAUCUGGCUCACUGCA